Long non-coding RNA from Acinonyx jubatus (cheetah), 732 nucleotides. RefSeq lists it as uncharacterized. Lineage: Eukaryota; Metazoa; Chordata; Mammalia; Carnivora; Felidae. The record is from RefSeq and is a predicted model, not a curated record. The transcript is spliced from 3 exons.
CUGGGACAGGAAGGGCUGUGGUUACCGCUGCUGACAAUCAGCUAGGAUGAAAAGAGGAAGGCAUUGCCACAGGUCUCAGCUAACAGGGAACGGAAGUUCCCAAACUGGGGCUGGUGCAUCGUGUCUGUAAAGAGCACGGUGAAUACGAUGGAGGAGUUCGGUGCCGGGAUAUUAGUCCUUAUGUCUGGAGUUAGGCUAGAGCAAGCAUUCCCGGUCCUGCAGGGAUGCCUUCAGAGCCCUGAUCAUCCUGAGGCGGCAGGCUGUCAGGGCUCAGGGCACGGGCUCUGACUCCUCGCACCAGUACUUCCUAACUGGGCCACUCUGGGCCUUCAACUCUUCAUCUGUAAAAUGGGAGCAACAGACGUCGCCUCACGGAGCCAGGUGUUCAUUACAGAACACGGUCCACAGGUCACUUCCAUGAACGCCUCUCAGACACAUCUACACAUCAUUUCUCAACUACUUGCCAUUUUGCAAACAACUGUUCCAAAGAUCACCAUCAAAUGCUAAGAGCAUGAAAAGCAUGGAAGUCAAUCUAAUAAUGACUAGUUAUCCUACAAACCGCUGCAAGAACAGAGCUUCUCAAUCAAAAGCUUGUGUGCAGGACAGGUGGUCCUAGCCCCACAGACCCCAUGUUGCUGGAUUCCACACCUGGAUCCUAAUGGUACUACCACAGACUGGUUAACUUGGCUUGAACGCACGCAAGCUCCUCCUCCUUUGUUUAUCUGGACUUAA